GAUGAACGCUGGCGGCGUGCCUAAUACAUGCAAGUCGAGCGAACAGACGAGGAGCUUGCUCCUCUGACGUUAGCGGCGGACGGGUGAGUAACACGUGGAUAACCUACCUAUAAGACUGGGAUAACUUCGGGAAACCGGAGCUAAUACCGGAUAAUAUAUUGAACCGCAUGGUUCAAUAGUGAAAGACGGUUUUGCUGUCACUUAUAGAUGGAUCCGCGCCGCAUUAGCUAGUUGGUAAGGUAACGGCUUACCAAGGCAACGAUGCGUAGCCGACCUGAGAGGGUGAUCGGCCACACGGGAAGUGAGACACGGUCCAGACUCCUACGGGAGGCAGCAGUAGGGAAUCUUCCGCAAUGGGCGAAAGCCUGACAGAGCAACGCCGCGUGAGUGAUGAAGGUCUUCGGAGCGUAAAACUCUGUUAUGAGGGAAGAACAAAUGUGUAAGUAACUAUGCAGGUCUUGACGGUACCGAAUCAGAAAGCAACGGCUAACUACGUG
Molecule: ribosomal RNA, 497 nt
Filed under: uncultured bacterium
Lineage: Bacteria
Description: partial 16S ribosomal RNA
Rfam family: Bacterial small subunit ribosomal RNA
Source: RNAcentral